UACGAAGGGGGCUAGCGUUGCUCGGAUUUACUGGGCGUAAAGGGCGCGUAGGCGGACAGGUAAGUUGGGGGUGAAAGCCCGGGGCUCAACCUCGGAACUGCCUUCAAUACUGGCUGUCUUGAGUGUGAGAGAGGUGUGUGGAACUCCGAGUGUAGAGGUGAAAUUCGUAGAUAUUCGGAAGAACACCAGUGGCGAAGGCGACACACUGGCUCACUACUGACGCUGAGGCGCGAAAGCGUGGGGAGCAAACAGG
RNAcentral lists this ribosomal RNA (253 nucleotides) under uncultured bacterium. Its description in RNAcentral is "partial 16S ribosomal RNA". It matches the Rfam family "Bacterial small subunit ribosomal RNA", at positions 524 to 776 of the family's 1533-position model. The record is from RNAcentral.